This is a small nuclear RNA of Cercocebus atys (sooty mangabey), 68 nucleotides long. Its record names the gene U7. It matches the Rfam family "U7 small nuclear RNA". From Rfam's summary of the family: Animal histone pre-mRNAs are spliced by a different mechanism than nuclear pre-mRNAs and self-splicing introns. This processing involves the U7 snRNP, which contains only one RNA species: U7. The record is from Ensembl. Lineage: Eukaryota; Metazoa; Chordata; Mammalia; Primates; Cercopithecidae.
AAGUGUUACCGCUCUUUUAGAAUUUGUCUAGCAGGGCUGGUUAUGGUGGCUUACACCUGUAAUCCGAG